Molecule: long non-coding RNA, 735 nt
Filed under: Homo sapiens (human)
Lineage: Eukaryota; Metazoa; Chordata; Mammalia; Primates; Hominidae
Description: HSALNT0401762
Source: RNAcentral
GAUGACGCACAGUGCUGGCGCAAGUCGUCUUGCGCCAGGCGACUGGGUCUGAGGAGGCAGGAGUUAUUCAUUCCCUUAAGCUUUCAGGCCGGGGGGAGAAUCUUUCAGGUGGUAGCUGCAAGAACUCUUAGUAUGUUGACCUCACCUCUGCCUUCCACAUACCACUACCAGUGAGGAAUUAGGAAUGCAUGAGAAGAGUGUCCAAGAAGAGUGUCCUCAUUCAUGCAAGGCUUAAGAGAGAAUGCAGGUCAACAUCACCAUGUCAAUCAGAGGUGCAGAUGCUGAGAGCACUUUCUAGUCAAGUCCUGCAUGUUCAUUUCUGUCUCAAGUCAGCUUCUCUGAGAAUCCAAUUUAUAAAAAUAUAUUUGUGAAUGUAUAAGUAAAGUGACUUGGAUUUUGUCUACGUACAAGGACUUCUAUGCCUGCAUAAAACAGGUCACAGUAAAGAGCUAUUUCAGUGCAAUGAAAAUGGAACCCAGGGUAUUUGGGAGUUUUGACAUCCAGGCCUAGUAUCGUAAAGACACCAAGCGUAGUUUGGAACCAGCAGCAGCAGCAGCUCCCCAGACCUACUGAAUCAGAAUCUACAUUUUGAUAAGAGCCCAGGGUGACUCCAUGUACGUGAAAAAGUUUGAGAAGUCCUUAGACCUACAGUUCACAGCUUCUCCUUCUUUCUUAUUCAACUGAAUUGCAGUGGGACCUGAGUAUGGUUAAAAUAAAUGAAUAAAAACACAAAUC